RNAcentral lists this ribosomal RNA (301 nucleotides) under uncultured bacterium. Its description in RNAcentral is "partial 16S ribosomal RNA". It matches the Rfam family "Bacterial small subunit ribosomal RNA", at positions 509 to 807 of the family's 1533-position model. The record is from RNAcentral.
CAGUAGCCGCGGGAACACAGAGGGUGCGAGCGUUAAUCGGAUUUACUGGGCGUAAAGCGUGCGUAGGCGGCUAAUUGAGUCGGAUGUGAAAUCCCCGAGCUUAACUUGGGAAUUGCAUUCGAUACUGGUUAGCUAGAGUGUGGGAGAGGAUGGUAGAAUUCCAGGUGUAGCGGUGAAAUGCGUAGAGAUCUGGAGGAAUACCGAUGGCGAAGGCAGCCAUCUGGCCUAACACUGACGCUGAGGUACGAAAGCAUGGGGAGCAAACAGGAUUAGAGACCCCUGUAGUCCCUGUCUCUUAUAC